RNAcentral lists this ribosomal RNA (253 nucleotides) under uncultured bacterium. RNAcentral describes it as "partial 16S ribosomal RNA". It matches the Rfam family "Bacterial small subunit ribosomal RNA", at positions 524 to 776 of the family's 1533-position model. The record is from RNAcentral.
UACGGAGGGUGCGAGCGUUGUUUGGAAUCACUGGGCGUAAAGCGCGUGUAGGCGGCUCGAUAAGUCUGGUUUGAAAGCACGGGGCUCACCCCCGGAAGUGCACUGGAUACUGUCGAGCUCGAGUCCCGGAGAGGAGAGUGGAAUUCCUGGUGUAGCGGUGAAAUGCGUAGAUAUCAGGAGGAACACCGGUGGCGAAGGCGGCUCUCUUGACGGUGACUGACUCUGAGAUUCGAAAUCGUGGCGAGCAAACAGU